UAGGGAAUCUUCGGCAAUGGACGGAAGUCUGACCGAGCAACGCCGCGUGAGUGAAGAAGGUUUUCGGAUCGUAAAGCUCUGUUGUUAGAGAAGAACGUUGGUAGGAGUGGAAAAUCUACCAAGUGACGGUAACUAACCAGAAAGGGACGGCUAACUACGUGCCAUCAGCCGCGGUAAUACGUAGGUCCCGAGCGUUGUCCGGAUUUAUUGGGCGUAAAGCGGGCGCAGGCGGUUCUUUAAGUCUGAAGUUAAAGGCAGUGGCUUAACCAUUGUACGCUUUGGAAACUGGAGGACUUGAGUGCAGAAGGGGAGAGUGGAAUUCCAUGUGUAGCGGUGAAAUGCGUAGAUAUAUGGGGGAACACCGGUGGCGAAAGCGGCUCUCUGGUCUGUAACUGACGCGGAGGCUCGAAAGCGUGGGGAGCAAACAGG
RNAcentral lists this ribosomal RNA (429 nucleotides) under Bacillota bacterium. RNAcentral's name for it is "Firmicutes bacterium partial 16S ribosomal RNA". It matches the Rfam family "Bacterial small subunit ribosomal RNA", at positions 355 to 776 of the family's 1533-position model. The record is from RNAcentral. Lineage: Bacteria; Bacillati; Bacillota.